RNAcentral lists this microRNA precursor (98 nucleotides) under Human gammaherpesvirus 8. RNAcentral's name for it is "miRNA K12-12". Lineage: Duplodnaviria; Heunggongvirae; Peploviricota; Herviviricetes; Herpesvirales; Orthoherpesviridae. The record is from RNAcentral.
GCAUACCCGUGGCUCAUAACACAGUCACAGUUCAGAAGGCCGGCACGCGGUGUCAACCAGGCCACCAUUCCUCUCCGCAUUAAAGCACUCGGUGGGGG